GUAGACUGGCACAAUGAAGAUCUCCUAUCCAGGAUUCGCAGAGUUUGCAAUACCAAGCUGUUGAUGCACUGAAGAAUUGUAGCCCUAUAAUCAAAUAUUCCAACAGUUAGCAUUAUUUAAGCUUUGAAGCAGUCCCACGAUGAUCUGUGGAAAAACAGAAGGAAGGAAGAAAAAAUCAGUUUUAUUUCUCUCACAAAAAUAUUAUCUACAUUAUACAAAUAAUAAUGCAUAUAAGUAUAUAUAGUUAGAUAAAUUAAUGUACAUUAUAUUUUCAUAUGAAUAUACUGCAAUAAUUGUUUUCAAUACAAUUCCCAAAAUUUAAAGUGUUCGUUUACUGUUGAAUAAUUUUUUUUCUACUAUAUGAUAACUGUAUUGACAUAGUUUAUGUCUAAAAGAUCAUUUGCAGUAUAUUUUACAAACAGUUGAUACAAUUUGUUGCAUAAAUAAAUUAAUAUAAUAUAUUGAAAAAAGAUAAUACACAUCUUUUCAAUAUAAAUCAUAGUGAUAGAUUUUUCUUCGCAUAACUUCACCAAAACUUACACAUACAUGUACAUAUAUCUCAGUUAUAUAAGCAACAACACAAAAUACUUUAUAUAUAUUAUCUUAUAUGUCAUUACUUUUUCCUGAGUAAUGCACUCCACUAUAAGAUCUUGAUAUAUAUAGAUCUAGUCCUGAAGAUAGUUGCGAACAUACCUAAAUUGUGUAAAAUAUAGUUGCAAAAAAUAAAAUUAGAGACAUGUGGUGACACAAUAAAGUGACAUUGAUU
Molecule: long non-coding RNA, 766 nt
Organism: Formica exsecta
Lineage: Eukaryota; Metazoa; Arthropoda; Insecta; Hymenoptera; Formicidae
Exons: 2
Source: RefSeq, a predicted model, not a curated record